Molecule: non-coding RNA, 23 nt
Filed under: Rattus norvegicus (Norway rat)
Lineage: Eukaryota; Metazoa; Chordata; Mammalia; Rodentia; Muridae
Source: RNAcentral
UGCUUUUCUUGGGAGAAAAGGGG